This is a long non-coding RNA of Naja naja (Indian cobra), 6096 nucleotides long. The record is from Ensembl. Lineage: Eukaryota; Metazoa; Chordata; Lepidosauria; Squamata; Elapidae.
GGCCCCCCAAGGCUCCGGAUCCCGCGCUUCGCCAUCUUACCCCGGGAGAAAAGGAACGCGAGCGCGGGAACUGCGUUCGAGAACGGGGGCGGCAACUUCACAGCCGUUGUGUUUUUUUUUUCCUCCCCCUCCCGCUCCUCGAGCCGUUAGUCCGCGAUGGGACCCUGCGACGGUUCAAGCAUGCGGGCCCUGCUGGAGACCCUCGAGGACCCAAGCGCCUCGCCGGGGGUGUUGACAGACGCGUGGCUGACCCUCACGAAUCGCUUGACUGAAGAAGAGGAGGAUGAAGAUGAAGGAAAAGAAUUUGCAGCUGAGGUUGAAAACUCUUUUCCCCAGCUUUACAAGAUAUUUAUGACACAUAUUCCUACUGAAAAUUCGGAGCUGAGCAGUGCAGUUUUACAAGCUUUAGGAUUCUGUGUGUGUAAUCCAAAGAUUGCUUCCUUAUUAUGCGAAAUAGAAAUACAUGAACUACUGUCUAUAUUAAACAGCGUUGCUACAAAUUCAGGAGACAAACACACUCGAACAAGAGCACUGUGGGUGAUCUCAAAACAGUCCUUUCCUCCAGAUACGGUUGGAAAGUUGGUACCCAAGAUUAUUGCUAUGCUAGAAACACUACUUCAUAAAGGAGAUUCACAUUCCAUGGUGGUUGAAUAUGAAGCACUAAAUGUUAUCAUCCGGCUGAUAGAACAGGCUCCAUCUGACAUGGAGGAACAGGCUGUGACGUGGGCUAAGAUGAUAAUUCCUUUGCUGGUUCACUCAGCUCAUAAAGUACAGUUAAGAGCUGCUAGUGCUUUGGAAAUGGGUCUACCACUUCUUCAGCAGAACCAAGAGGUGAUAGCAGUUGCUGAGCAACUCCUGACUACUAAAGUAAUUCCAGAACUCCAAAAGCUAUUUUUUUCAAAACAUGAAACAUAUAUUCUGAAACUCUGGCCUCUGUUUGUAAAGCUGCUUGGAAAAACAUUGCAUCAUAGUGGAAGCUUUAUCAAUUCCUUGCUGCAUUUAGAAGAACUUGGAUUUCGUAGUGGCUCCCCAGUGGUGAAGAAAAUAGCUUUCAUUGCAUGGAAAAGUCUGAUUGAUAACUUUGCUUUAAAUCCAGAUAUAUUAUGCAGUGCAAAAAGGCUGAGAUUGCUGAUGCAGCCACUGACCUCUAUUCAUGUGAGAACUGAAACUCUGGCACUGACCAAGCUUGAAGUUUGGUGGUAUUUAUUAAUGAGGCUUGGAUCUCAGCUUCCAGUCCACUUUGAACAGGUUUGUGUACCAUUAAUUCUGAACACUUUAAGCCUAGUUGCCUCUCCACUACAAGACAAUUCAUCAUGGCUAAUUUCUAAUCAGAAUUUAUCUAUGCCAUUUUUCCCUUUUGGAAAUAAUGCCACUCCAAAGAUGACUUUGAAUUCUAGCAAUGAAGGAGUUGUUAUUCCAUCUAUUCAGCUUCUAGGAAUUGAAAUGCUGCUUCACUUCUUUAUGGGACCAGAAGUAUUGACUUUCGCCAAGGAAAAUAAAAUUGUACUUAGUUUAGAACCUCUUCAGUGCCCAGUAAUCAACAGCCCUUCCUUUUUCUGCAAGUAUGCCAGUGUUUUCAUAAAUGCAGCUCGGGAUGGUUUCAUUGCAAUUGGAAGAGAUGUUUCCGGUAAGGACUUUAUGUGCAGGUUGGAUAUUUAUGGCAACAAAAGAGAACGGCAGAAUUCAGAAGUAUUAACUAUGUUGCUGCAGACUUUAAAAAACAUUAUUUUGUCAAAAGAAUUGCCAGUAUUAAACUCAUUGCCCUUGUUAGAAGUGGCUAUUAAAGAAUUGCCUCCAAAAGUAUUGGGAUCACCAGCCUAUCAGAUUGCUGACAUGGAUCUUCUGAAUGGAACUCCAGCACUGUUCCUGGUUCAGCUUUUAUUCUGUGAAGAUCUUCUGAAAUGUGGAGUUGAAAACAGAAGAUUCUUUUCAAACUUCGAAACUCUUGUGGAAUGUGCUUUGUCUGGCCCUACGUCUCCUCUGGCUUUUACUGAGUCUGUACUCACAAUUGUGAGUCAAAAUGCCAUGCACUUGGAAAAUAAGGAAUAUUUGUGGCGAAUGUGGAGUAUUAUGGUUAACCCAUUAACUGAAUGGAUUAAACAGACGAAUGAAGUCAAUCAAGGGGAUGCUUUGGAGCAUAAUUUCAAUGCAAUUUAUUCUGCACUGUUGCUACCAGUAAACUAUAUAUUUUCAUCUUCUGAGUUCCCAGAGCUUGCCAUGAAAACACUAUUGCGUUCUUGGUCAGAACUGUAUAAAGCAUUUGCCCGUUGUGCAUUACUAGUAGCAACAGCAGACGAUAACAUAUGCUGUGAGGAACUCUGUGCCAAAAUAAUAUCUGGAUUAAAAGAUGAAACACAUCUUGUAAGACUCUCUUAUAUUACAGCCGUCAUAGUUGAAUGCAUCUGUUUUGCACCUUAUGAUAAGAGAUUCCUAUCAGCACAUAAACCUCCACAGACGCUGGUGGAGUGGGCCAGAAGGUCGAAAAAUCCCCUUGGCAAGCUGUGUUCUGUAAUGAAACUUCUGAUAAUACUGAUAAACUCUCUUAAGAUGCUUGUAUCCGAGGAAUCUGACUUUGAACAAUUAGCUCCUGUUGCUUUUGUGAUCAUUGGUAUUCUUCAGAAUAUCAUUGCCCACAUCUCUUUGCCUUCUGUCAUCAGAGCGGUCUUGGGAUUUAUUGCAAAACCUUUCACGGCAGAUCAUAACAAGUCUUUCAAGGGCUGCACUGGUUACCAGUGGUGUGAAAAGUUACUGGCAGACAGCCUUACUUGUUUGCAGUCGAACUAUACUGCAGCCUUUGACAGCUGUGUCUUGAAAGAGGUUUUUCCAUUAUUAAGUGCAAUGCUUUUAAAUAAGAAUAAGCAUAUAAGCAGUCAUGCUGCUCGCUUUUGGAAUACAACGUUUGGAAAAGAGGAAGGCCUGGAAUACCCUGAAGAAUUUAACCACAUUAUUGAUAUUUUAAUUUAUUUUAAUAAAUUAUGCUUACAUAUGUUAAAACAGACGGAGAACUCCCAGUGGGGUGCAAACAUCAGUGGGAUAAAAGUAAAUCCUAAUGGAAAAAGGGACUCAUUCCUGGCCCAAACCGGUGAGCCAGAGGAAGAAAGUAUAAAGCUAGAAUUCUCACGGUCAAAAUCAAAUAUAAAAAACAUUCCUUUGGAAGAAGAAAACACUGUGGACUUCGUGUACAUUCCUGCAGAAACAAAAGAGCGAGUCUUAACAGAGCACCAAAAAGAAGUUCUGAGAACUAAAAGGUUUGUCAUGUUAUAUUCAAUCACAUUAACUUAUCAUCAGCUUGUCAUUCCGCAUGCAGUAACUGGAAAUUACAAAUCAAAUAUAUCUCUGGAGAAAAUUACUUCUACUGUUACUGAGCAACCUAAUAACUUUCAGAAAGAGAAGCUGGAUCAGAAAAAUCAGGAGUUGAAUGUCUGUGUUGCAGUACAAUCUCCGAUAUUAGAUUCUACUUUGAAUGAAAAUCCCCCUAAUUGCAGCAGCAACUCUUCAAGUUCUAGUGAUAUAAUUUCACCAACACCACAGGCAGUGGUGAACAGAAGGCAAGCCUUUGUUACUUUGGAAAAAUUCAAUGACUUAGAGAACAGACCUUUCAGUCCUUCAGUUUUUAGUAAUAUUUCUAUAACAUUAACAAGUCCGUUUAUGCAGAAGGAAAGCGCAGUUGCUACAGAUGUCUCUUCAAAAGAAAAGUCAAAUCCGGAGAAUAAAGAUGGUGUAAAACUCAGAGCAAGAAAAACGGUCGCUGGCACAAAGAGGACGCGCUUAGAGUUCUUAAAUGCUCUAGAGAUGUGUGUCAAAUCAAAAAGAAUCAAAGAAGAAAAUAUUCCUGAUUCAAAAUUGCAGUCUACCAACACGGUUGAGAUGAAGACGUCAAGCCUUAGACAGAGUAAAACUCCGGAUGACAAAACUUCAGAGCAAAUGCAGUCAGACCAAGAGGGAAAAAUCAGGUUUCUGAUAAGCUUUGCAAGGAGAAGCAGGAAUUAUCUGUGGGCACUGAAAAAGCAGACCAUUUGCUGGGUGAUCAGUCUCAGAUCCCCAGUGUGGCUGACAGCACAACAGUGGAGAGUAAAAGAGAACCAUCAGGAACAGUUGGACCUGAGUCUUGGGAAACCUGAACGCAGCCCUGCUGCAUCUGACCUUGAAGAACCAAGCCCAGAUGCCUCUGUGGAGAAACUAAAAGUAUUUCCGCGGUAUCAUACAAGAAGAGCAGCUUCACAAGAAUUACUUGCCAGUAUGGAAAACUCUGGAUCUGAUAUCGGUGAAACAAGAGAGGAAGGAGCAAAGAGGAAACGGUCUGGGAAAUUGAAAAAAAAGGAUUCCCCUGGGAACCAAGCAAAGGAAGAGCCAGACAGCCAAGAGCUUUCUUCCCAAGCUGCAGUAGAAAUCCAAACCAGGUCAGUAGGAAAACAGAAAAUAUCUUCUGGCGGAGAGACAGAAGUGCCUCCGAUGUCUACUAAUGCAAAAGAAAUCUGCAUAAAGGAAGAAAGAGAUACUUCCCCGUUAAGUCCCAGUGUGAACCUUAAAGAAAACUCAGGGCCGACACGUCCUGGAGCCUCUUCAGAUACAGGGAGAAAGCCUGCUGACAGGAAGGAAUCCACUCCAGAAUUUCUAGAUGUGUCUGAAUGCCAGCACAAAAGAAGCAAGCGGACAAGGAAAUCCAGGAGCUGCAAAUGCUGUGAUGUAAAGCUGUCUCCCCAAGUGGAAAAAGUAUCCCCUGAACCGAAAAGGGCAAGCACUCCAGAACCAAAGUUAAAAGAGCCAAGGAAGAGCCUCAGUAAAGUAAGCGUGGCCCUGGCCUUGGAUCCUGUUGCUGAAGAGAUUCAUUUGGCCGAGAGGCUGAGCACAGAGCCUUGUGCAACAAGCACCCCGCUGCCUUUCGUUAAGGAUGCCGCUGAUCGGAAAGAGGCCAGCGAUGGUGCUGAAUCUGUCGGUGGCGUCCCAAGAAACAAUACGCCAAACGUUGAACCGGAGAAAUUAGCAUGUGUCCAAAAUGAAAGCGACAAGCCAAAGAAGGCAGAAGAUAAUGCAGCAAGUGCACCAAGGGAACAUCCAACCUUAGUCUUGUGGCAGGAGAAAAGUAGCCCCUUGGAUUCUCCACCAAAAUGUAAAGAACUUGAUUUUCUUUCUUUAGCCAAAGUCAGUGGAAGUCCCACUGGGACACAGGCUCGCUGUCUAUGGUCCCCAUCAGCGUCUCCUUCUAUAAGCAUUUUAAAGAGAGCCAUCAAAAGAGAACCAGAGGAAGAUUCAUCAUCACCUGCAAACAAGAACCGAAGAGUCUCCUUUGCCAAUCCAAUCUACCAAGAAGAAUUGGCAGAUGACAUUGACCGGCGAAGUCCUGUACUUAGAAUUCAUCCUUGCAAUAAUGGCUCUCAGUCUUUGCGAAGUGCUAAAUCUUCACCUAAUCACCAAGCCAAGCUUAUAACCACUCCAACCAAAGGAUCUUUGUCCCCUGGAACCCGUAGCCAUAAAUAUAAGACCUCAAAGAAGUGUUUAAUCACAGAAAUGGGCUCGGAGCCAACACCAGUACCUACAGAAAGCAUAUAUCCUGCCCUGAUGGGCUGUAAAGCAUCUGUCGACAUAAUUCUGCCUCAGAUUACUUCAAAUACUUGGACGAGAGGGUUAGGACAUCUGAUUCGAGCAAAGAAUAUCAGAACAGUGGGUGACUUGAGUUCUCUCACCGCAGCCGAGAUCAAAACACUUCCCAUUCGCUCUCCUAGAGUUUUAAACCUUAGAAAGGUUCUUAAAGGCUAUCAUGAGCAGCAGGUAAAAUCUCGUGGAAUGGAGGAAAAUGCUGGCCUGGAUGAUACAGAGAAAUCAAUCAGUGCUAUGGAUGAGACAUUUUUUUCCACAAAUGAAAAUGCAGGUAAGUAUCACUUAAACCUACACGAUCUUACGGGUGAGUCAUCAGCAAUAGACCUUUGGGCUCAGGUAAAUCUACUUGCUGACCAAAUUACUUCUGAAAGACUUCGGAACUAUUCAGAGAACGAACUCUUUGAAAUGCAAGAGAAACUUCAUACCAUUACAGACUGCAUCAUGAAAACUCUGAAGUCCCGUUGGAUGCUUUCAAGAUCUUGUGAAACCACUGUUUAA